Molecule: long non-coding RNA, 1263 nt
Filed under: Oryctolagus cuniculus (rabbit)
Lineage: Eukaryota; Metazoa; Chordata; Mammalia; Lagomorpha; Leporidae
Description: lncRNA (ENSOCUG00000033125.1)
Source: RNAcentral
AAUGGUGACUCUGUUUUGUCCUCUACAGAAAGAAAGAGUGAGUCCCUCCCCAUUGGUGGCUCAUGUUCUCCGUCCCUGUUGCACAAGGGUCUAGCAUCAGAACUGUCCUGCAGCCUAGAGGAUUUGCUGUCAGUGGUGGGAAGCACGCAGAACCAUCUAGGCAAGCAUCCAAAAGGACGUACCCAUCCAGAUGUAGCAGACGAUUGUGCUACUACAGUGGCAUAACCCCUGACUGGCAGGUUGUAAAGGCCAAGAAUUCUUGAAUAUUCCCAGAGUGCGUUACCUGGCAAGACAGAGGACUACUAAGGCUUUACUCACACUUGAAUCCACUCCUAUUUCUCAGAAAACUUCACAGGUUGGUAAAAAUCAACCAGAGCAUGGCUGGAAACAGAGGAGGCUUUUCUGGGAAAUUAGCCAUGAAAGCAGAUUAAUAGAGCCCAAGUUCCCCAAGGGAAAUCAAUUGGCCGGGCGUUGGGAAGAAGUGAAGGAACAAUGAGAAUUGGGAUGCAGACAGUGUUCCUGGGAGCUGGGUGAAAAGAACCAGUACUAGACCUUACCUUGAGACCCUGAAGAUCCCUAAGUCCCAAUCCAGUUCCCAGCAAGUACUUCCUGCCUCUUUGGCAUGAGUCCGCAAAGUUGAAGGUGACCUCUGUUGGCAUGGCCAUCUGCCUCGUAUGCUUAGGCCAGGGUAGGAAAACUGCUGAGCUUUGGGUCAUUCCCGACUGCGUCACUCAAGCCUCUAGCUCAAGGAAUUAUCCAUGUUUACUGAUGAUAAUCUCCAAGCCAUGGUAGCCCAGGAGGCCUUCAGUUCUAGAACACAUGCUUCUUUGAACAGGAAAAAAAAAUGAGUGCAAUCCUGAGCUUCUCCCCUUAGUGACAAGAGGCCUGAGGCCACCUGCUUGCUCCCACCAUAGGGACUGGCUACACUCAAACACUCAUCUUUUCCAUUUGUUUGUUUUGUAUUAAAUCUGUAUUUAUUUAUUUUCACCGUAUUUUAAAGACAGAGAGAUGGAGAGAAAGAUCUUCCAUUUGUUGGUUAACUAUACAAAUGCCCGCAACAGCUGAGGCUAGGCCAGGCCAAAGCCAAGAGCCUGGAGCUCAGUCUGGGUUUCCCAUGUGCAUAGCAGGCAUCCAAGUACUUGAGCCAUCAUCUGCUGCCUUCCAGUGUGUGCUUUAACAGAAAGCUGGAAUUGAAGCAGUGAAGCCAGGACUCAAACCAGGUUCACCAAUAUAGCAUGUGGGUGUCCCAAAUGCCACCUUAAC